UACGAAGGCCCCAAGCGUUAACCGAAAUUAUUGGGCGUAAAGCGUCCGCAGGCGGAAUAGCGCGUCUGCUGUUAAAUCCUGGGGCUCAACCCCAUGGGCUGCAGUGGAUACGGCUAUUCUUGAGGCAUAGAGAGGUAAGCGGAACUCCUGGUGGAGCGGUGAAAUGCGUUGAUAUCAGGGGGAACACCAAUUGCGAAGGCAGCUUACUGGCUAUGUCCUGACGCUCAGGGACGACAGCGUGGGAAGUGAAUGGG
This 254-nucleotide unclassified non-coding RNA is filed under the name uncultured Parcubacteria group bacterium. RNAcentral's name for it is "contains 16S-23S intergenic spacer region". It matches the Rfam family "Bacterial small subunit ribosomal RNA", at positions 524 to 776 of the family's 1533-position model. The record is from RNAcentral.